CGGGGUGCACCAGGCGCGAAAACUUUACAAUGCGGGAAACCGUGAUAAGGGGACACCGAGUGCCAGCAUCAUAUGCUGGCUGUCCAGGUGUGUAAAAUACACCUGUCAGCAAGGGCCGGGCAAGACCGGUGCCAGCCGCCGCGGUAACACCGGCGGCCCGAGUGGUGAUCGUGAUUAUUGGGUCUAAAGGGUCCGUAGCCGGUUUGGUCAGUCCUCCGGGAAAUCUGACGGCUCAACCGUUAGGCUUUCGGGGGAUACUGCCAGGCUUGGGACCGGGAGAGGUAAGAGGUACUACAGGGGUAGGAGUGAAAUCUUGUAAUCCCUGUGAGACCACCUGUGGCGAAGGCGUCUUACCAGAACGGGUUCGACGGUGAGGGACGAAAGCUGGGGGCACGAACCGGAUUAGAUACCCGGGUAGUCCCAGCCGUAAACGAUGCUCGCUAGGUGUCAGGCAUGGCGCGACCGUGUCUGGUGCCGCAGGGAAGCCGUGAAGCGAGCCACCUGGGAAGUACGGCCGCAAGGCUGAAACUUAAAGGAAUUGGCGGGGGAGCACAAGGGCGAUUCGCG
RNAcentral lists this ribosomal RNA (567 nucleotides) under uncultured archaeon. RNAcentral's name for it is "bacterial SSU rRNA". It matches the Rfam family "Archaeal small subunit ribosomal RNA", at positions 326 to 897 of the family's 1478-position model. The record is from RNAcentral.